UGAAUUCCAACGAAGAGGAUAGUAAUUAAGGUAGCAGGUAAAAAGAGAGGAGAGGUCGUGGCUGAGAGCCCUCCAUAUCUGUCUUAAUGAAAGAACACCUCGGAGGAGUUUUUCUGAACGUAACGAACUAGUAGGAAAAGACGUAUACAGGCGUUAACUGUUUAAAGUGGAAGUAAGUUACUUCAAUUUAGGGUGGUACCACGGGUUUAAAGCUCGUCCCUGAU
Molecule: non-coding RNA, 224 nt
Filed under: Halalkalibacter wakoensis
Lineage: Bacteria; Bacillati; Bacillota; Bacilli; Caryophanales; Bacillaceae
Description: Bacillus wakoensis T-box sequence
Rfam family: T-box leader
About the family: Uncharged tRNA acts as the effector for transcription antitermination of genes in the T-box leader family. T-boxes are found upstream of many aminoacyl-tRNA synthetase genes and some amino acid biosynthetic genes usually in Gram-positive bacteria.
Source: RNAcentral